CAUCUUUUCUUGUUAGUUUUUGAAGUAUGGCCUGCCCACUGACUUAGAGUUGAAGGGCCGCGGUAUUUUGACCGUGCAAAGGUAGCAUAAUCAUUAGUUCUUUAAUUGUGAUCUGGUAUGAAUGGCUUGACGAGACAUAAGCUGUCUUAGAAGUAUUGGUUUAUUGAAUUUGGUUUUUGAGUUAAAAUUCUUAAAUGUUUUUAUGGGACGAGAAGACCCUAUAGAGUUUGACAAUUUUCCUAUUUAUUCGUUGUUUGUUUUAUUUACAUUGAGUGGGAAUGAAUUGUUUUGUUGGGGUGAUGGGAGGAAUAUUGUUUAACUCCUCUUUGUUUUUAUAUAUUUAUGUAUAUAUUUUUGAUCCAUUUAUUUUGAUUAUAAGAUUAAAUUACCUUA
RNAcentral lists this ribosomal RNA (393 nucleotides) under Nasutitermes ephratae. RNAcentral's name for it is "partial 16S ribosomal RNA". Lineage: Eukaryota; Metazoa; Arthropoda; Insecta; Blattodea; Termitidae. The record is from RNAcentral.